This is a non-coding RNA of Gossypium hirsutum (cotton), 72 nucleotides long. The record is from Rfam. NCBI's taxonomy places the organism in Eukaryota, Viridiplantae, Streptophyta, Magnoliopsida, Malvales, Malvaceae.
CACGUCAGCGCGCUUUGCUGACGUGGCAGUAAAUCGCGUUUGUUGCCAUGUCAGCAAAGCGCGCUGAUGUGG